This 639-nucleotide ribosomal RNA is filed under the name uncultured bacterium. Its description in RNAcentral is "bacterial SSU rRNA". It matches the Rfam family "Bacterial small subunit ribosomal RNA", at positions 232 to 885 of the family's 1533-position model. The record is from RNAcentral.
CGCGGCCUAUCAGCUUGUUGGUGGGGUAACGGCCCACCAAGGCAUCGACGGGUAGCUGGUCUGAGAGGACGAUCAGCCACACUGGGACUGAGACACGGCCCAGACUCCUACGGGAGGCAGCAGUGGGGAAUCUUGCGCAAUGGGCGAAAGCCUGACGCAGCAACGCCGCGUGGGGGAUGAAGGCUCUCGGGUUGUAAACCCCUUUCAUCAGGGACGAAAUUGACGGUACCUGAAGAAGAAGCCCCGGCCAACUACGUGCCAGCAGCCGCGGUGACACGUAGGCACCAAGCGUUGUCCGGAUUUAUUGGGCGUAAAGAGCUCGUAGGCGGUUCAGUAAGUCGGGUGUGAAAACUCUGGGCUCAACCCAGAGACGCCACCCGAUACUGCUGUGACUUGAGUACGGUAGGGGAGUGGGGAAUUCCUGGUGUAGCGGUGAAAUGCGCAGAUAUCAGGAGGAACACCAGUGGCGAAGGCGCCACUCUGGGCCGUAACUGACGCUGAGGAGCGAAAGCAUGGGUAGCAAACAGGAUUAGAUACCCUGGUAGUCCAUGCCGUAAACGUUGGGCACUAGGUGUGGGUCUCAACCAACGAGAUCCGCGCCGUCGCUAACGCAUUAAGUGCCCCGCCUGGGGAGUACGG